AGAGGCGCUGCGGGGCGGUGCCAGCCAGCGCGUUCCCACAGCUCCCUGGCGGCAGAGCCGGGCGGCGGAGGCUGCGCCCCCUCCCCUGCCCGCUUCCUGGUCCUCGGGGUCUGAGGGCCGCGGCCUGGGACUCCAGAGCUGGGGGCUGCGGGUGUUCUCGGUGGCCGCCGCAGCGUCCGCGGCGACGUCCCGGUCCUCGCGGCCUCGCAGCCAGUGCUUGCUCGGGCCGGCCGCCGAAUGCCCGUGGACGCGCAUCUCCUCCCCGAGUUCCUGCUUCCUGGGCCAGCCAAAGCCGCAGGUGAGAACGUCCGCGGUAGAGGUGGCAUCCAGGGCCUGCGGGUCUCAGAGGCCCCCUGGCCUCCUUCUGCUCUCCUCCUUGCUCAGGAAACCCCGCGGGAGCGCCUGCAGCGGGGAUGCUCAGUGCUCCCCGAGCCCCGAGAGCACUUCUUCUGAGGCACGUAGCCCCCCGCCCAGGCGCUUCUGCGAGCUCCUUUGUGGACCCCACAAGCCCCUAGGGGUUCCCCCGCCGAGCACCCCGCGAGCCCCACCACCCCUGGCGCGCAUGCCCAGAGGCCCCGGGAGCUAGAAAGUAGCUGAGCUGCUGGCGCAGUACCUGCUGGUUAAGAACGCGAAGACGGUGUGGAUCAAAAGGGCAGACAUGCUGAAGUGUGUCAUCCUAAAGGUGCAGGAGCUUCCUUCCCCGAGAUUGCCAAGAGAGCCUCUGAGAGAGUUAGUUGUUGGGUCUAGGUGAAGGAACUUGGCCCUCCAGAGCACUCCUAUGUCCUGCACAGGAAAAAAAAAAUCUAUCCUGCCCUGCCUCUGGGGCCUGACAGGCGACAGGGGCACUCCAAAGACUGGGCUUCAGAUGACUAUCCCGGACUUGAUCUUCGUGCAGGCCAGCGGUGUCCCAGAGGAGGUGUUCGGGGAGGUGUGGAGGGUGUGGAGGUAUGCUCGCCCAAAGCAUCCUAUCCUUGGGGUGCCGUCAGCAAAGCACAUCACCAGAGCUGGUGUGAGGCACAAGCACUUGGUGCACGAGAGAGUAGGUGUCCACCAGAGGUCCCUUGCUCUCGGUAUUCUUGUGGGGCUCUCAAAGGAAACAAGACAGAUGGAAGUCCUGGAGUUUGUGGCCCAAGUGAAUGACAUCCAUCCCAGAGCCUUGCUGUGGCAGUAAAUGAGGCAUUGCAAGAAGAGGAGGAAGUGCCCGGUGCUGAGCGGUGGCCCAGAAGCAGCUGCUGGUGAUGAUGUGACCAGUGCGAGUGUUAGUGCAAGUUCCACUUCCAGGGCCUGUGCCAUGGCUGAAGCAAGCGUCAGCGCCAGUGUCAAUGCAAAUGCCAGGGCCAGGGGCUAGAGCCAUGCAGGAAUGAUGAUGGUCAGUACUGGGGACAGUAUUGGUGCCAGUCACAAUCUCAGGCCAGAGUCAGGGCUUCUGCUGACACCAGAGAUAGCUGCUGCUAAGGCUUCCUUGCUUUGGUUGUGGUAGUCCAAGGGAUGCAGGAGCAGUGGGCCCUGAGGCCCUGCUGUAUGAAGAGUGCAGUGGCAGAGCAGGGGCAGGGAUAGCAUUGCACUUCUGUUCUGAGCUUGGUGGUGACUUGGGGCUCAAUCGGCACACUGCAAAGUCCUGCUUGCUUUGUGGCUACCUCCUUUCCAGUUGAUAAACAGUUAGGAGGGAUCGAGUGAUGAAGGCUGAGGAUGUGGUUGAGUGGUGGAAGACUUUUCUCGAUUGGGGAUGGCUAUGGGCUCCAUCCCAGGAACCAUAAAGUAAAACAGUUGAAAGGGGACUCGCCUUGAACUGUGUCAGAGCAGCAUGGAAGUAAAGGCAUCCUAAAAUCCUUUCCCGAUCCUUGCUUUUCUAAGGCAUGUGAUUAAGUAGGAGCAUCUACUUCCACAGUUGGCUUGCAGCAGUGUUUCCUUGUUCCUUAUUUAGGAGAGGUUUGUUCAUUUACACAAAACACUUGUGACACACUGCCAUUUUAGAUCUGAAAUAUACUACAGCAGAGUCAGUGGUUCUUUCUGAGAUGUUGACGGAAAUUUCCAGCACAGUGAUUCCUUGCUGCAGAUAUUAAGAGGAAAAGCACAAACGUGGCCAAAAUCUGACACACAGCAAAACCAGCUGACAUUUAUUUGUGUUAACCCAGAGCUCUGGAAUGUAGGGAAAAAUAAAAUUGAAUUAGACACCU
Molecule: long non-coding RNA, 2177 nt
Organism: Mus musculus (house mouse)
Lineage: Eukaryota; Metazoa; Chordata; Mammalia; Rodentia; Muridae
Product: predicted pseudogene 5126
Exons: 1
Source: RefSeq, marked predicted